RNAcentral lists this unclassified non-coding RNA (566 nucleotides) under Pogonomyrmex barbatus (red harvester ant). RNAcentral describes it as "uncharacterized LOC105429855, transcript variant X2". Lineage: Eukaryota; Metazoa; Arthropoda; Insecta; Hymenoptera; Formicidae. The record is from RNAcentral.
AAACUAUUUCUAAAAUUAUACUCAAUUUUUGCGUAAGAUAUUAAAGAAAUAGUCCAAUAAAAACCAUCUGCGAUAUUCUUAUAUUGUUGCCAAUGUUUCGAUGUAUGACAUCCUUUAUGCUAGAAACAAAAGUUUGUAGGUUUUUUAUUGUAUAUUGUAUAUAAUUUUGGUAUAUACUUUUAGGCGUUAGCAGAAAUAAAGAAUCUACUUGAGAAAAAAAAUAUUUGAAAAAAACGUUACUUAUAUCAGAAAAUUGGAGAAACUGUCGUGCAUAAUACAAAAAAAUCUCGCACUUUUUGUAUCUAUUUACAAACAUAUCGAUGUAAUCACAGCUAUAAUUCAAUCUUUAUAUAACUUAGAAAGAUUUAAAAUUGAUAUAGCACAGCUAACGUAUAAUAUGGAGAUUAAAUCUGGAGUACCAAUACUUAAACUUUUAAAGAUAUGUAAAGAUACACGAGCUGAUACAUUGAUGGAUUACAUGCUACAGUAAUUAUAUAGUAAACAAUUAUACAGUAUAGAGUAUAAAAUUAAUUAAUUAAUUGAAUAAAUGUACUUCUAAUUAUCAA